Molecule: ribosomal RNA, 741 nt
Filed under: Schaalia odontolytica
Lineage: Bacteria; Bacillati; Actinomycetota; Actinomycetes; Actinomycetales; Actinomycetaceae
Description: bacterial SSU rRNA
Rfam family: Bacterial small subunit ribosomal RNA
Source: RNAcentral
ACACAUGCAAGUCGAACGCUGAAGCCCAGCUUGCUGGGUGGAUGAGUGGCGAACGGGUGAGUAACACGUGAGUAACCUGCCCCCUUCUUUGGGAUAACGCCCGGAAACGGGUGCUAAUACUGGAUAUUCACUGGCCUUCGCAUGGGGGUUGGUGGAAAGGUUUUUUCUGGUGGGGGAUGGGCUCGCGGCCUAUCAGCUUGUUGGUGGGGUGAUGGCCUACCAAGGCUUUGACGGGUAGCCGGCCUGAGAGGGUGACCGGUCACAUUGGGACUGAGAUACGGCCCAGACUCCUACGGGAGGCAGCAGUGGGGAAUAUUGCACAAUGGGCGAAAGCCUGAUGCAGCGACGCCGCGUGAGGGAUGACGGCCUUCGGGUUGUAAACCUCUUUCGCUCAUGGUCAAGCCGCAACAGUGGUUGUGGUGAGGGUAGUGGGUAAAGAAGCGCCGGCUAACUACGUGCCAGCAGCCGCGGUAAUACGUAGGGCGCGAGCGUUGUCCGGAAUUAUUGGGCGUAAAGGGCUUGUAGGCGGUUGGUCGCGUCUGCCGUGAAAUCCUCUGGCUUAACUGGGGGCGUGCGGUGGGUACGGGCUGACUUGAGUGCGGUAGGGGAGACUGGAACUCCUGGUGUAGCGGUGGAAUGCGCAGAUAUCAGGAAGAACACCGGUGGCGAAGGCGGGUCUCUGGGCCCGUUACUGACGCUGAGGAGCGAAAGCGUGGGGAGCGAACAGGAUUAGAUACCCUG